This 445-nucleotide long non-coding RNA is filed under the name Cyanistes caeruleus (blue tit). RNAcentral's name for it is "lncRNA (ENSCCEG00000023142.1)". The record is from RNAcentral. Lineage: Eukaryota; Metazoa; Chordata; Aves; Passeriformes; Paridae.
AUGGAGCAGCAGCUGGGAGCGCCGGGGCUCACGCGGACAGGGCAGCGUGCCCCGGUGCUGGAGCUCCUGCCAGCAGUGACCAGGGGGUCACACCGGGCUGGACAAUCGGGGGGCCGGGGGCGAGCCCCGGGGUGCAGGAGGAGGAUCAGCCGUGCCCGGGUGAAAGGGAAAGAGAGAACCUGGACAAGACGUGCUGGGGCCUCUCUGCUGGGCUUGUUUUCCUCAGUUCUUGUUGGGGAUGUAUCAGGAGAGAAACCCAGGGGAAAAGCUUUCUCUGACCCUCUGCACUUGGGUUGAGGUGGGGAGAUGGCAGCCCCUGGCAUCUCCUAAGGCAGGACAGUCCCCAGACUGGCAUCUCCCCAAAUCACCCAGCACAAAGACUUCUCCUUCCCCUCUCCCCUCACUCCCUGUCUCUCAUGCUUGGCUGCACCAGGGCAGUUUCCCC